Molecule: ribosomal RNA, 467 nt
Filed under: uncultured bacterium
Lineage: Bacteria
Description: partial 16S ribosomal RNA
Rfam family: Bacterial small subunit ribosomal RNA
Source: RNAcentral
GAUGAACGCUGGCGGCGUGCUUAACACAUGCAAGUCGAACGGAAAGGCCCUGAUUUUGUGGGGUGCUCGAGUGGCGAACGGGGGAGUAACACGUGAGUAACCUGCCCUUGACUUUGGGGUAACAUCAGGAAACUGGGGCUAAUACAGGAUAGGAGAUCCUGCAGCAUGGUGGGGGUUGGUAAGUUUCGGCGGUUGGGGUUGGACUCGCGGGUUAUCAGCUUGUUGGUGGGGUGGUGGCUUACCAAGGCUUGGACGGGUAGCCGGCCUGGGAGGGUGACCGGCCACAUGGGCCCAGGGGUGCGGCCCGGACGCCUUCUUGCGGCAGCGGUGGGGAACUUAGCACGAUGGGCCGAGUGCGGGUGCAGCAACUCCGGGUGCGAGAUGACUGCUUUCGGGUAGGAAACCGCUUUCGCCUGUGACGAAGCGUGAUGACCGGAACUGAGGAAAGAGGCACGGGCUACUUCCUG